Molecule: ribosomal RNA, 429 nt
Filed under: Chloroflexota bacterium
Lineage: Bacteria; Bacillati; Chloroflexota
Description: Chloroflexi bacterium partial 16S ribosomal RNA
Rfam family: Bacterial small subunit ribosomal RNA
Source: RNAcentral
UGGGGAAUAUUGCACAAUGGGCGCAAGCCUGAUGCAGCCAUGCCGCGUGUAUGAAGAAGGCCUUCGGGUUGUAAAGUACUUUCAGUCGGGAGGAAGGUGGUAAGGUUAAUAACCUUGUCGAUUGACGUUACCCGCAGAAGAAGCACCGGCUAACUCCGUGCCAGCAGCCGCGGUAAUACGGAGGGUGCAAGCGUUAAUCGGAAUUACUGGGCGUAAAGCGCACGCAGGCGGUUUGUUAAGUCAGAUGUGAAAUCCCCGGGCUCAACCUGGGAACUGCAUCUGAUACUGGCAAGCUUGAGUCUUGUAGAGGGGGGUAGAAUUCCAGGUGUAGCGGUGAAAUGCGUAGAGAUCUGGAGGAAUACCGGUGGCGAAGGCGGCCCCCUGGACGAAGACUGACGCUCAGGUGCGAAAGCGUGGGGAGCAAACAGG